This 377-nucleotide ribosomal RNA is filed under the name uncultured bacterium. RNAcentral describes it as "bacterial SSU rRNA". It matches the Rfam family "Bacterial small subunit ribosomal RNA", at positions 523 to 898 of the family's 1533-position model. The record is from RNAcentral.
AUACGUAGGGGGCGAGCGUUGUCCGGAAUUACUGGGCGUAAAGGGUGCGUAGGCGGUCUACUAAGUCAGAUGUGAAAUACCACGGCUCAACUGUGGGGUUGCAUUAGAAACUGGUAGACUAGAGUGCAGGAGAGGGAAGUGGAAUUUCUAGUGUAGCGGUGAAAUGCGUAGAGAUUAGGAAGAACACCAGUGGCGAAGGCGGCUUCCUGGACUGUAACUGACGCUGAGGCACGAAAGCGUGGGUAGCGAACAGGAUUAGAUACCCUGGUAGUCCACGCCGUAAACGAUGGAUACUAGGUGUAGGGGGUAUCGACCCCCUCUGUGCCGGAGUUAACGCAAUAAGUAUCCCGCCUGGGGAGUACGACCGCAAGGUUGAA